CAUACACCUGUAAGGUCACUCUACAAUGAUUCUGGGGAAAUAAACUGCAAGAAUAUGGAUGUUGCAAUUGGAUCUGAAGGUGACAAACAUGGGAUCAUUCCUGGGAAUCACAGUCUUUGUCUAGAGGCGCAUACCAUCUCAGGAAGAGUGUUUUCCAGCGGGAGUAUAAUGUUGGGACCUUGGGAAUUUGGGACCUUUUAAAAAUAUUAUUGCAUGUUACAGAUAUAUUUCCACCUACUCAAAGAAAUCAG
Molecule: long non-coding RNA, 251 nt
Organism: Neopsephotus bourkii (Bourke's parrot)
Lineage: Eukaryota; Metazoa; Chordata; Aves; Psittaciformes; Psittacidae
Exons: 3
Source: RefSeq, a predicted model, not a curated record